GCCAGUUUGGCUCAGUGGAUAGAGCGUUGGCCUGCAGACCGAAGGGUCCUGGUUCGAUUCCGGUCAAGGGCA
Molecule: non-coding RNA, 72 nt
Organism: Myotis davidii
Lineage: Eukaryota; Metazoa; Chordata; Mammalia; Chiroptera; Vespertilionidae
Source: Rfam